GACGAACGCUGGCGGCGUGCUUAACACAUGCAAGUCGAAUGGAAAGGCCCUGCUUUUGUGGGGUGCUCGAGUGGCGAACGGGUGAGUAACACGUGAGUAACCUGCCCUUGACUUUGGGAUAACUUCAGGAAACUGGGGCUAAUACCGGAUAGGAGCUCUUGCUGCAUGGUGGGGGUUGGAAAGUUUCGGCGGUUGGGGAUGGACUCGCGGCUUAUCAGCUUGUUGGUGGGGUAGUGGCUUACCAAGGCUUUGACGGGUAGCCGGCCUGAGAGGGUGACCGGCCACAUUGGGACUGAGAUACGGCCCAGACUCCUACGGGAGGCAGCAGUGGGGAAUAUUGCACAAUGGGCGGAAGCCUGAUGCAGCAACGCCGCGUGCGGGAUGACGGCCUUCGGGUUGUAAACCGCUUUCGCCUGUGACGAAGCGUGAGUGACGGUAAUGGGUAAAGAAGCACCGGCUAACUACGUG
RNAcentral lists this ribosomal RNA (468 nucleotides) under uncultured bacterium. RNAcentral describes it as "partial 16S ribosomal RNA". It matches the Rfam family "Bacterial small subunit ribosomal RNA", at positions 28 to 507 of the family's 1533-position model. The record is from RNAcentral.